Molecule: transfer RNA, 73 nt
Organism: Camelus ferus (Wild Bactrian camel)
Lineage: Eukaryota; Metazoa; Chordata; Mammalia; Artiodactyla; Camelidae
Rfam family: tRNA
About the family: Transfer RNA (tRNA) molecules are approximately 80 nucleotides in length.
Source: Rfam
GGGGGUGACAGUUCAGUGGUAGAGCAGGUGCUUAGCAUGCACGAGGUCCUGGGUUCAAAACCCAGUACCUCCA